This 460-nucleotide ribosomal RNA is filed under the name uncultured bacterium. Its description in RNAcentral is "partial 16S ribosomal RNA". It matches the Rfam family "Bacterial small subunit ribosomal RNA", at positions 338 to 795 of the family's 1533-position model. The record is from RNAcentral.
CCUACGGGUGGCAGCAGUGAGGAAUAUUGGUCAAUGGGCGCGAGCCUGAACCAGCCAAGUAGCGUGACGGAUGACUGCCCUACGGGUUGUAAACUUCUUUUAUAAGGGAAUAAAGUGCGCCACGUGUGGCUUUUUGUAUGUACUUUAUGAAUAAGGAUCGGCUAACUCCGUGCCAGCAGCCGCGGUAAUCCGGAGGAUCCGAGCGUUAUCCGGAUUUAUUGGGUUUAAAGGGAGCGUAGGUGGGUUGUUAAGUCAGUUGUGAAAGUUUGCGGCUCAACCGUAAAAUUGCAGUUGAAACUGGCAGUCUUGAGUACAGUAGAGGUAGGCGGAAUUCGUGGUGUAGCGGUGAAAUGCUUAGAUAUCACGAAGAACUCCGAUUGCGAAGGCAGCUUACUGGACUGCCACUGACACUGAGGCUCGAAAGUGUGGGUAUCAAACAGGAUUAGAUACCCGGGUAGUC